AGAUUACUCACCACAGCAGUCAAUACAGUUUCUGCAGCCUCUUCUGCGUCUAAUGCUGAGAAUUGGGGAAAAUAUGACGUGAGAGUGGAUCACCUGGGAGAGCUGGUUCCUCUGACUGCAGGAGGAUUUGUGAAGCAGCUCUAAGGAGACUUUCCAUCCCAUCCCAGACACUGAACGAGCUAGUCCCUGACAAGCAGUUUGAAGUUGAUGAAAACCUGUCAUCAGGAAUCCUCAGAUUCAGGCCUUGUGGCGUUUGUUGCCGUGGGAGACUUAUCUGCAACUGUCUGCACAGUGUGAUGUACGGCAGGACUCGUCUGCAUGAGUUCUCCUACCACCUGUGCUCCCGCUGUGUGCUCCAGCUUUGGCCCAAAGAAGACCUGCUUUUCAUUUGCCUCACAGGAGUGGCCAGUGAAAGCAGC
Amphiprion ocellaris (clown anemonefish) is the source of this 419-nucleotide long non-coding RNA. Lineage: Eukaryota; Metazoa; Chordata; Actinopteri; Pomacentridae. The record is from Ensembl.